CCCUUAGAUGUCCUGGGCUGCACGCGCGCUACACUGGAAGUUACGGAUUGAGAUACUACCUUGUCCGAAAUGGUCCGGGUAAUCACCUAAAAGCUUGUCAUAAUUGGAAUGGAUUAUUGUAACUAGUAGUCCUGAACGAGGAAUUCCUAGUAAGUCCCAGUCAACAGCUGGUACUGAUUACGUCCCUGCCCUUUGUACACACCGCCCGUCGCUACUACUGAUUGGACGUUUAAGCAAGAUUUUUAAACACUGACAGUGUGUAGUUCACGCUAUACUACAGUGAGAAGAAGAAGAUCGAGCUUACUUGUCUAGAGGAAGUAAAAGUCGUAACA
RNAcentral lists this ribosomal RNA (332 nucleotides) under uncultured eukaryote. RNAcentral describes it as "partial 18S ribosomal RNA". It matches the Rfam family "Eukaryotic small subunit ribosomal RNA", at positions 1470 to 1796 of the family's 1831-position model. The record is from RNAcentral.